UACGUAGGGUCCGAGCGUUGUCCGGAGUUACUGGGCGUAAAGCGCGCGCAGGCGGCGGUGCUGGCCCGGCGUGAAAGCCCCCGGCUCAACCGGGGAGGGUCGUCGGGGACCGCACCGCUUGAGGGCGGUAGGGGCUGGUGGAAUGCCUGGUGUAGUGGUGAAAUGCGUAGAGAUCAGGCGGAACACCCGUGGCGAAGGCGGCCAGCUGGGCCGUCCCUGACGCUGAGGCACGAAAGCGUGGGGAGCAAACAGG
Molecule: ribosomal RNA, 253 nt
Filed under: uncultured bacterium
Lineage: Bacteria
Description: partial 16S ribosomal RNA
Rfam family: Bacterial small subunit ribosomal RNA
Source: RNAcentral